Long non-coding RNA from Boleophthalmus pectinirostris (great blue-spotted mudskipper), 894 nucleotides. RefSeq lists it as uncharacterized. The transcript is spliced from 2 exons. The record is from RefSeq and is a predicted model, not a curated record. Lineage: Eukaryota; Metazoa; Chordata; Actinopteri; Gobiiformes; Gobiidae.
CGGGGCCCUCGGGUUUGAGUGACGGAGCUCGGAGCGAAGAAAAACAAAAGGCUAAAGACGCGACAGCAACAUAGAACUACACCACAAAACUACACGGACAUGAAUGAAGCGACUGAGUGAAGGAGGCGCGCACUGAUGACCACAAUAAAACAACACAUUGACCUUGAGACUUAAACUAAGUGCAGCUGCAGUACUCACCCAUACAGGCCAGCAGUCCAGUGAUGGCCUGAACAUCGGCUCCAGCAAAAAUAUCCGACAGAGAAUUCACCACCGGCAAACAGAGCGUGUGCACUCGGAUCCUUCUCUCUCCUGCAGGGACAACAACAUUUACAACCAGUACUCAAACAUAUACCAGCCAUGAGGAUCUCUAGAUGAAGCUUUGUGCUAUGAGCUGAUUGGCUGUGAGGGCGGUGCAUCUGCUUCACUUCUGUCUGAAAAAGCUGUUCUAAAGCUGUGCACAUGUUUGAAAAGGGUUUGGGAAAGACCGGAACAAGUGAGGUACAUUUAAAUACAUACUUCAUUCUUUCAGUUUAAAAAUCUCGUACCUCAAAUUUAAAUAUUUGUAUCAUUUUCCUACACAUGUGAAUUGGUGUUUCACAUUUUUUACUUAAGGGUACACUGUAACUUUUGGUUUGGGGUCAGGCCUAUCCUGUACCUUUGCUGGAGGUGUAGAGCAGCGCGGCCUGGAAGGACACCACCUGCAGGUCGUCCAGGUUUUCGUCGAUGGACAUCUGAACUGCAAAUCCUGCAUCUGGGUUCACGUUGGGAAGCGAGAGCAGGUCUGUGGAGCGCACGAAGAAGUUUCCGUGGAACGUGUGGAUCGACAGGCCUGAGGAGAGACAACAUUUACAUUUUAAGAGUGUAAAAUCCAGUAAAAAAUGAAUAUUAUCAGAA